RNAcentral lists this ribosomal RNA (406 nucleotides) under uncultured bacterium. Its description in RNAcentral is "bacterial SSU rRNA". It matches the Rfam family "Bacterial small subunit ribosomal RNA", at positions 30 to 431 of the family's 1533-position model. The record is from RNAcentral.
AUUGAACGCUGGCGGCAUGCCUUACACAUGCAAGUCGAACGGCAGCAUGGAAGAGCUUGCUCUUCUGAUGGCGAGUGGCGAACGGGUGAGUAAAGCAUCGGAACGUACCGUGUAGUGGGGGAUAACGUAGCGAAAGUUACGCUAAUACCGCAUACGCACUGAGGUGGAAAGCAGGGGAUCGCAAGACCUUGCGCUAUACGAGCGGCCGAUGUCAGAUUAGCUAGUUGGUAGGGUAAAGGCCUACCAAGGCGACGAUCUGUAGCGGGUCUGAGAGGAUGAUCCGCCACACUGGGACUGAGACACGGCCCAGACUCCUACGGGAGGCAGCAGUGGGGAAUUUUGGACAAUGGGCGAAAGCCUGAUCCAGCCAUGCCGCGUGAGUGAAGAAGGCCUCGGUUGUAAGUAC